UACGUAGGGUGCGAGCGUUGUCCGGAAUUAUUGGGCGUAAAGAGCUCGUAGGCGGUCUGUCGCGUCGAUCGUGAAAACUUGGGGCUUAACCCUGAGCUUGCGGUCGAUACGGGCAUGACUGGAGUUCGGCAGGGGAGACUGGAAUUCCUGGUGUAGCGGUGAAAUGCGCAGAUAUCAGGAGGAACACCAACGGCGAAGGCAGCUCGCUGGGACGGUACUGACGCUGAGGCGCGAAAGCGUGGGGAGCAAACAGG
RNAcentral lists this ribosomal RNA (254 nucleotides) under uncultured bacterium. RNAcentral's name for it is "partial 16S ribosomal RNA". It matches the Rfam family "Bacterial small subunit ribosomal RNA", at positions 524 to 776 of the family's 1533-position model. The record is from RNAcentral.